Molecule: ribosomal RNA, 253 nt
Filed under: uncultured bacterium
Lineage: Bacteria
Description: partial 16S ribosomal RNA
Rfam family: Bacterial small subunit ribosomal RNA
Source: RNAcentral
UACGAAGGGGGCUAGCGUUGCUCGGAAUUACUGGGCGUAAAGGGAGCGUAGGCGGACAUUUAAGUCAGGGGUGAAAUCCCGGGGCUCAACCUCGGAAUUGCCUUUGAUACUGGGUGUCUUGAGUAUGAGAGAGGUAUGUGGAACUCCGAGUGUAGAGGUGAAAUUCGUAGAUAUUCGGAAGAACACCAGUGGCGAAGGCGACAUACUGGCUCAUUACUGACGCUGAGGCUCGAAAGCGUGGGGAGCGAACAGG